GGGGGGGGGCACAGGAUCCUGGGCUGUGUCCCCCAGCGCCCUGGGAUCUGGGGCCUGUGCUGCUGGAAUCGCACUCCUGGGGUGCGGCUCCCG
This 93-nucleotide microRNA precursor is filed under the name Canis lupus familiaris (dog). RNAcentral's name for it is "mir-8799 microRNA precursor family". It matches the Rfam family "mir-8799 microRNA precursor family". RNAcentral also lists the same sequence under 1 other name. Lineage: Eukaryota; Metazoa; Chordata; Mammalia; Carnivora; Canidae. The record is from Rfam by way of RNAcentral.